AGUAAGAGCUUGCUCUUAUGGGUGGCGAGUGGCGGACGGGUGAGGAAUACAUCGGAAUCUACCUUUUCGUGGGGGAUAACGUAGGGAAACUUACGCUAAUACCGCAUACGACCUUCGGGUGAAAGCAGGGGACCUUCGGGCCUUGCGCGGAUAGAUGAGCCGAUGUCGGAUUAGCUAGUUGGCGGGGUAAAGGCCCACCAAGGCGACGAUCCGUAGCUGGUCUGAGAGGAUGAUCAGCCACACUGGAACUGAGACACGGUCCAGACUCCUACGGGAGGCAGCAGUGGGGAAUAUUGGACAAUGGGCGCAAGCCUGAUCCAGCCAUACCGCGUGGGUGAAGAAGGCCUUCGGGUUGUAAAGCCCUUUUGUUGGGAAAGAAAAGCAGUCGGCUAAUACCCGGUUGUUCUGACGGUACCCAAAGAAUAAGCACCGGCUAACUUCGUGCCAGCAGCCGCGGUAAUACGAAGGGUGCAAGCGUUACUCGGAAUUACUGGGCGUAAAGCGUGCGUAGGUGGUUGUUUAAGUCUGUUGUGAAAGCCCUGGGCUCAACCUGGGAAUUGCAGUGGAUACUGGGCGACUAGAGUGUGGUAGAGGGUAGUGGAAUUCCCGGUGUAGCAGUGAAAUGCGUAGAGAU
This 634-nucleotide ribosomal RNA is filed under the name Stenotrophomonas sp. RMN-Slr-25. RNAcentral's name for it is "bacterial SSU rRNA". It matches the Rfam family "Bacterial small subunit ribosomal RNA", at positions 71 to 697 of the family's 1533-position model. Lineage: Bacteria; Pseudomonadati; Pseudomonadota; Gammaproteobacteria; Lysobacterales; Lysobacteraceae. The record is from RNAcentral.